GCCGGGUGCGGUGGCGCGUGCCUGGAGUCCCAGCUACUCAGGAGGCUGAGACUGGAGGGUCUCUUGCGCCCAGGAGUUCUGGGCUGUAGUGCGCUAUGCCAAUCGGGUGUCCGCACUAAGUUUGGCAUCAAUAUGGUGACCUCCCGGGAGCAGGGGACCACCAGGUUGCCUAAGGAGGGGUGAACCGGCCCAGGUCGGAAACAGAGCCGGUCAAAACUCCCGUGCUGAUCAGUAGUGGGAUUGCGCCUGUGAAUAGCCACUGCACUCCAGCCGGGGCAACAUAGUGAGACCCCAUCUCU
RNAcentral lists this signal recognition particle RNA (299 nucleotides) under Cebus imitator (Panamanian white-faced capuchin). Its description in RNAcentral is "Metazoan signal recognition particle RNA (ENSCCAG00000004537.1)". It matches the Rfam family "Metazoan signal recognition particle RNA". Rfam says of the family: The signal recognition particle (SRP) is a universally conserved ribonucleoprotein. The record is from RNAcentral. Lineage: Eukaryota; Metazoa; Chordata; Mammalia; Primates; Cebidae.